Molecule: ribosomal RNA, 458 nt
Filed under: uncultured Campylobacterota bacterium
Lineage: Bacteria; Pseudomonadati; Campylobacterota
Description: bacterial SSU rRNA
Rfam family: Bacterial small subunit ribosomal RNA
Source: RNAcentral
GAGUUUGAUCCUGGCUCAGAAUAAACGCUGGCGGCGUGCCUAGCACAUGCAAGUCGAGCGAGAAAGUUCCUUCGGGAACUAGUAAAGCGGCGAACGGUUGAGUAACACGUGAGAAUCUACCCUUCAGUGAGGAAUACCACCGAGAAAUCGGUGUUAAUACUGCAUACGUCCCUUCGGGGAGAAAGGUGGCUUUAAUGCUGCCGCUGAUGGAUGAGCUUGCGAGCUAUCAGUUAGUUGGUGAGGUAAUGGCUCACCAAGGCUAUGACGGCUAUCCGGCCUGAGAGGGUGUACGGACAGACUGGGACUUAGACACGGCCCAGACUCCUACGGAGGCAGCAGUGGGGAAUAUUGCGCAAUAGGGCGAAAGCCUGACGCAGCGACGCCGCGUGAAGGAUGAAGGUCUUCGGAUUGUAAACUUCUGUUAAGUGGGAAGAAAGAUGCAUUUUUAAUAGAAAUGU